Molecule: ribosomal RNA, 301 nt
Filed under: uncultured bacterium
Lineage: Bacteria
Description: partial 16S ribosomal RNA
Rfam family: Bacterial small subunit ribosomal RNA
Source: RNAcentral
CAGUCGCCGCGGGAAUACGUAGGGUGCAAGCGUUAAUCGGAAUUACUGGGCGUAAAGCGUGCGCAGGCGGUUAUAUAAGACAGAUGUGAAAUCCCCGGGCUCAACCUGGGAACUGCAUUUGUGACUGUAUAGCUAGAGUACGGCAGAGGGGGAUGGAAUUCCGCGUGUAGCAGUGAAAUGCGUAGAUAUGCGGAGGAACACCGAUGGCGAAGGCAAUCCCCUGGGCCUGUACUGACGAUCAUGCACGAAAGCGUGGGGAGCAAACAGGAUUAGAUACCCGCGUAGUCCCUGUCUCUUAUAC